GGUAGCUCAGUUGGUAGAGCAGAGGACUGAAAAUCCUUGUGUCGGUCAAAUUCGGAUUAGAUAAAUCCUCUUUGUAACAGUUCAAUUCUUCUCAAUAACCCACCA
This 105-nucleotide transfer RNA is filed under the name Fidelibacterota bacterium. RNAcentral describes it as "tRNA-Phe". Lineage: Bacteria; Pseudomonadati; Fidelibacterota. The record is from RNAcentral.